AGGUUGUGGUUGUCCUUCUUCUGCCGCUCCUUCAUCAGAGCUUUGGUCUCCACGUCUACAGACACAAGGAGAAGGAGGAGGAGGACCAGUCAGAGCUGAUGAGCAGGAAAACAGGAGGGUUCUACUGCAGAUCGGACCGGACCGGGUCUGCGUUACAUUUGUCACAUUUACCUGUUAGCUCCUGCUUGAUGGCAUGCAGGUCGGCCGGGCAGCUGUUGCUAACGGCGACGGUGGGCGUGGACAUCCCUCCGUAGACAUCCAGCAUGUUCCCGGCUGCCGGCAGCUGCAACGGGCCAAUCAGAGGAUGAGAAACACGCCCUGCUGCAGCUUUAUGUGUCUGAACAGAUCCAGGCCUGCAGAGCAGUUGUGACUCAUCACAACUUCACCUUCUCCCAACAAAAUCCAGCUGUACCCAAAACAAGGUACCGAGCCGUUUCCCAGAACUGAUCUGAUCCGGCUCUGAAUCCCAGUGAGGACAAACAGAUUCAUGGAUCCAACAGCAGCGUGAGAGCAGAGGAGGACUGGCUUCCCUCAGUCUGAAGAGGAGGAGGGAGGAGGAAGGAGGAGAUUCCUGACUGAUGAGUCAUCACUGAAGGUUCAGGGGUCAAAGAGAGGCGCAGAGAGGGGCGAGGUGUUGCUGCGGGCGCCGGGAUGAAAUGAGGAUCUGCAGCCGGGGAUACAGAAGGAAGCAGCGGGGAGCAGAGACAGAGGAUGAGGAAGAAAUCUGGUGAUGAAGUCUGACACCGA
This is a long non-coding RNA of Gambusia affinis (western mosquitofish), 747 nucleotides long. RefSeq lists it as uncharacterized. The record is from RefSeq and is a predicted model, not a curated record. NCBI's taxonomy places the organism in Eukaryota, Metazoa, Chordata, Actinopteri, Cyprinodontiformes, Poeciliidae. The transcript is spliced from 3 exons.